RNAcentral lists this ribosomal RNA (406 nucleotides) under uncultured bacterium. Its description in RNAcentral is "partial 16S ribosomal RNA". It matches the Rfam family "Bacterial small subunit ribosomal RNA", at positions 28 to 526 of the family's 1533-position model. The record is from RNAcentral.
GACGAACGCUGGCGGCGUGCCUAAUACAUGCAAGUCGAACGAGUGGCGGACGGGUGAGUAAUGUCUGGGAAACUGCCUGAUGGAGGGGGAUAACUACUGUAAACGGUAGCUAAUACCGCAUACCAUCAGAUGUGCCCAGAUGGGGUUAGCUUGUUGUGGGGGUAAGGGCUCACCAAGGCGACGAUCCCUAGCUGGUCUGAGAGGAUGACGAGCCACACGGGAACUGGUGCACAGUCCAGACUCCGACGAUAGGCAGCAGUGGGGAAUAUUGCACAAUGGGCGCAAGCCUGAUGCCGCCAUGCCGCGUGUAUGAAGAAGGCCUUCGGGUUGUAAAGUACUUUCAUCGGGGAGGCGUUACCCGCAGAAGAAGCACCGGCUAACUCCGUGCCAGCAGCCGCGGUAAUAC